CAGUCGAACGAAAAGACGGAAAGAGCUUGCUCUUUUCAGAAUUGAGUGGCACACUGGUGAGUAACACGUAAACAACCUGCCUUCUGGAUGGGGACAACAGACGGAAACGACUGCUAAUACCGAAUAAGUUCCAAGAGCCGCAUGGCCCAUGGAAGAAAAGGUGGCCUCUACCUGUAAGCUAUCGCCUGAAGAGGGGUUUGCGUCUGAUUAGCUGGUUGGAGGGGUAACGGCCCACCAAGGCGACGAUCAGUAGCCGGUCUGAGAGGAUGAACGGCCACACUGGAACUGAGACACGGUCCAGACUCCUACGGGAGGCAGCAGUGGGGAAUCUUCCGCAAUGGGCGAAAGCCUGACGGAGCAACGCCGCGUGAGUGAUGACGGCCUUCGGGUUGUAAAACUCUGUGAUCCGGGACGAAAAGGCAGAGUGCGAAGAACAAACUGCAUUGACGGUACCGGAAAAGCAAGCCACGGCUAACUACGUGCCAGCAGCCGCGGUAAUACGUAGGUGGCAAGCGUUGUCCGGAAUUAUUGGGCGUAAAGCGCGCGCAGGCGGCUUCCCAAGUCCCUCUUAAAAGUGCGGGGCUUAACCCCGUGAUGGGAAGGAAACUGGGAAGCUGGAGUAUCGGAGAGGAAAGUGGAAUUCCUAGUGUAGCGGUGAAAUGCGUAGAUAUUGGGAGGAACACCAGUGGCGAAGGCGGCUUACUGGACGAUGACUGACGUUGAGGCUCGAAAGCGUGGGGAGCAAACAGGAUUAGAUACCCUGGUAGUCCACGCCGUAAACGAUGACUACUA
This 792-nucleotide ribosomal RNA is filed under the name uncultured bacterium. RNAcentral's name for it is "bacterial SSU rRNA". It matches the Rfam family "Bacterial small subunit ribosomal RNA", at positions 59 to 818 of the family's 1533-position model. The record is from RNAcentral.